RNAcentral lists this non-coding RNA (151 nucleotides) under human gut metagenome. The record is from RNAcentral.
UUUUCCUUUGGGGCGGACGAAGAUGGAAUCGGGUGCGAAUCCCGGGCAGUCCCGCUGCUGUGAGCCUUAACAAAAUGCGCGCGAUACGCCACUGUCCGCGAGGGGCGGGAAGGCCGCGCGCAAAGGCGAGCCAGAAGACAUGCCGCUUUUC